Gallus gallus (chicken) is the source of this 2373-nucleotide long non-coding RNA. Lineage: Eukaryota; Metazoa; Chordata; Aves; Galliformes; Phasianidae. The record is from Ensembl.
CCGGCGCGGUUGCAGCCAAAUAAGUCCAGCGUGCGGCUCCAGGUGUUGAUUUAUUGCCCCUACAGCUCAGCGCCCCCCCCCAACCCCACUGUUCCUUUCCUUCUGGGGGGGGGGGGGGGACUGCAGCCCUGAGGGACCCCAUAGGGAUGUGGGGGUGCGCCGUGAAACCUCCCCCCUUCCCAUGGGGGUCACUGCGGCGUCACUUCCCAGCACCAUCUCUGCAGCCUUUGGGGUCUCUAUUUGGGAACUGGGGGGGGGCAGGAUGGAUAUGGGGCUUUUCGCACCCCUACAUCCACCCUAAGGUACCACAUACCUUGGGGGUGCACUGAGACCCCAGACCCAAACCUUGGGGAUGCACUUGGACUCCAAACCUACACCCUGGGGGUGCACUUAGACCCCAAACCUAAACACUUGGAUGUACUUCAGACCCCAGACCCAAAAGCCUGGGGUGCACUUGGAACCCCAACCCAUACCCUGGGGGUGAACUCAGACCCCAAGCCUACACCCUGGGGUGCACUUGGACCCCAAACCCAAAUCCUGGGGUGGACUUGAGACCCCAGACUCAAACUUUGGGGGUGCACGCAGACCCCAAACACAACACUUGGACGCACUCAGACCCCAAACCCAAACACUGGGGUGCACUCAGACCCCGGACCCAAACCUUGGGGGGGCGCUCAGACCCCAAGCCUACACCCUGGGCUGCAUUUGGACCCCCAACCCAUACCCUGGGGGUGCACUCAGACCCCAAACCCAAACCUUGGGGGUGCCCUCAGACCCCAAACCCAAACCUUGGGGGUGCCCUCAGACCCCAAACCCACACCACAACGCUUCUCAACAUCCCAAAGUGGGGACCCAGGGGACAUGGGGGUCCCGGUGGGGGGGCAUGCCCCAUCCACUGGGGGUCCUGGGGGGUCUCCCCAUGCCCUUGGGGGGGGGGGGGGUUAUCGGUGCACUGCAUUGGGCAGCUGUGAUGAAGAAGGAUUUCUGUUUGGGAUCCGUUAAUCGGGAAUUUGGUGUCAACAAGAAAAAUCGGAGCUGUCCAGCAUGGCGGCUUCCUGCUUUAUCAUGAUUAUGGGGGGGGGGGAUGGGGAUGGGGAUGGGGGGGGGGGAUUUGGGGACGUGAAGCAAAGAUGGGUUUUAAAUUAAGAUGAGCAGAGGCAACCCCUGGGCUCUGCAGCCCGGGUUGGGGUCGGGGUUGGGGUGCUGUGUUGGGGAUGGGGGGGCUUUGGGGUGGCUUUGGGGGUAUCUCCCAGCAGUGCUUCCCGUGGGGGGGGGGGGUUGGGGAUAAAAGUGGGGCUUCAAAGUAAUGGGUUUGGCCCAAAAUGAAGCUCAGAGCAGAAAUCGCCCCCAUGGGGCCCGAUGGGACCGGGAUGGGGGGGGUAUGGGGUGGGGGGGGGGACAUUGGGGGCUCUGGGGUCCUUCGGCACAGUGGGGACGGGCGGUUGUGGGGCCGUUGGGGCUGCUGGGGCUCCCGCUUGGAUUCUGCUCUAUGUUUUAUCCACGAGGAAAGCAUCCCCAGCCCUAAUGUGUCUGGGCACGAACCGACACGUCCCUGACAAAUUACGAGGCGUAAUUAAUUCGGCCAUUAAUGAAUCAGCAUCUUUACGGUAACAGGGCCAUUAAAUACCCGCAGGACGGACACCUCGAGGGCCGGCGCCGAUCCCACGGCACCAGCAGUGACAGAGACACGGGGGCUGUUGUCAUAUCUGACCGCCUCGCCUUCCCCCCGCGCCGCUGCCAGGACACCAAAUGGCUGCUCAGAUAGCGGAGAGCUUUUGGGCCAUCAAAUGGAAACCAUUGAGUGGAGAGAGGCAGAGGAGCAGAAAGGCUGAAGGGCAGCAGAGCAAACAGACACUGCAAUGGGCAGCAAAAUAAACAGUGUGGGGAACAGAGGUGGAGUGAGAUCAGCUGGGAGAUAGGAGAGAUAAACACAGGGGAGACAGCGGGACGGACAGACGGACAGAUGGGCCGCACUGCGGAGCCGCACAGCGCUGUGGUUGGGGAGGAGGGAAGCGAAGAAGGACGGCGGAGCUAAUUGAAAACGAAGGGGAAAUUUUUAAUCAGGGCGAAUGUAAUUACUGCAGCUGGAGUUGGGCCAGGGCAGCGGGUUAAUGGCCCCGGGGCUUCAAUUCAAUCUUCCCCCUCUCUCGGCCUCUCCUUCCUCCCGCGGAUGGGAAUUGCUGCGAAUCCCCGGAGCGAAACCGUCUCCAUCCCUCCAUCCCUCCAUCCCUCCAUCCCUCCUUCCUCCCCUAUUUCCUUCCUCCUUCCCUCCCUCCCAUCCCCCUUCCCACAUCCCCACAUUCCUCAUCCCUCCAUCCCCCAUUCCCAUAUCCUCCAUCCCCCCAUCCCUCCAUCCUCCAUCCCCACAUCCCC